GGUAGUAUGGCUCAAGUGAUAGAGUGUUUGCCUAAGUAGCAUGAAGCCCUGGGUUCAAACCCCAGUGCUACCA
RNAcentral lists this transfer RNA (73 nucleotides) under Dipodomys ordii (Ord's kangaroo rat). It matches the Rfam family "tRNA". From Rfam's summary of the family: Transfer RNA (tRNA) molecules are approximately 80 nucleotides in length. Their secondary structure includes four short double-helical elements and three loops (D, anti-codon, and T loops). Further hydrogen bonds mediate the characteristic L-shaped molecular structure. tRNAs have two regions of fundamental functional importance: the anti-codon, which is responsible for specific mRNA codon recognition, and the 3' end, to which the tRNAs corresponding amino acid is attached (by aminoacyl-tRNA synthetases). tRNAs cope with the degeneracy of the genetic code in two manners: having more than one tRNA (with a specific anti-codon) for a particular amino acid; and 'wobble' base-pairing, i.e. permitting non-standard base-pairing at the 3rd anti-codon position. The record is from Rfam by way of RNAcentral. Lineage: Eukaryota; Metazoa; Chordata; Mammalia; Rodentia; Heteromyidae.